UACGUAGGGGGCAAGCGUUGUCCGGAAUCAUUGGGCGUAAAGCGCGUGUAGGCGGUUCGGUAAGUCCGCUGUGAAAGUCCAGGGCUCAACCCUGGGAUGCCGGUGGAAACUAUCUGGCUAGAGUCCGGAAGAGGAGAAUGGAAUUCCUGGUGUAGCGGUGAAAUGCGCAGAUAUCAGGAAGAACACCCGUGGCGAAGGCGGUUCUCUGGGACGGUACUGACGCUGAGACGCGAAAGCGUGGGGAGCGAACAGG
RNAcentral lists this ribosomal RNA (253 nucleotides) under uncultured bacterium. RNAcentral describes it as "partial 16S ribosomal RNA". It matches the Rfam family "Bacterial small subunit ribosomal RNA", at positions 524 to 776 of the family's 1533-position model. The record is from RNAcentral.